RNAcentral lists this ribosomal RNA (339 nucleotides) under Triticum aestivum (bread wheat). RNAcentral's name for it is "partial small subunit ribosomal RNA". Lineage: Eukaryota; Viridiplantae; Streptophyta; Magnoliopsida; Poales; Poaceae. The record is from RNAcentral.
AUGUCGGGCGACGGCAAUGGUGCUGGCUGGCUGCUGGUGGACACAUUUUGUGUCCGUGAGGCUGAGGCUUGUGCACGUCUUGUAAGGGACCGUUGGAUCCCUCCCGGUAAUUACCUUGAUGUUGCUGCGGUCGGGGACAAUGCCGACUUUGUGUUCUUGGAUCAUACAGCAAGUGGCACUCUCUUUUAUGUUCAUCUGAGGAGCAGGGUAGUUGAGAAAGUCCAUAAGAGGGUGCCAGAAAAAUGUUAUGUACCUCACCAAAUGGCUCUCUCUCCCAUUGUGAUGAUCUGGCCGCCUGUUUUCCCUGCACGAGAGGUAGGACAUGAUCAAGAGGAAUGA